UACGAGGGGGGCAAGCGUUGUUCGGAAUUAUUGGGCGUAAAGGGUGCGUAGGCGGUUUGGUAAGUCUGAUGUGAAAUCUAUGGGCUCAACUCAUAGUCUGCAUCGGAAACUGCCGGGCUUGAGUGUGGGAGAGGUGAGUGGAAUUCCUGGUGUAGCGGUGAAAUGCGUAGAUAUCAGGAGGAACACCGGUGGCGAAAGCGGCUCUCUGGACCACAACUGACGCUGAGGAGCGAAAGCGUGGGGAGCGAACAGG
RNAcentral lists this ribosomal RNA (253 nucleotides) under uncultured bacterium. RNAcentral's name for it is "partial 16S ribosomal RNA". It matches the Rfam family "Bacterial small subunit ribosomal RNA", at positions 524 to 776 of the family's 1533-position model. The record is from RNAcentral.